This 94-nucleotide transfer RNA is filed under the name Stereum hirsutum FP-91666 SS1. RNAcentral's name for it is "tRNA-Ser". It matches the Rfam family "tRNA". From Rfam's summary of the family: Transfer RNA (tRNA) molecules are approximately 80 nucleotides in length. Their secondary structure includes four short double-helical elements and three loops (D, anti-codon, and T loops). The record is from RNAcentral. Lineage: Eukaryota; Fungi; Basidiomycota; Agaricomycetes; Russulales; Stereaceae.
GUCACUUUGCCGGAGUGGUUAACGGGAUCGCCUGCUAUUUAUAGCUCUUAGCGGUUGGGCUUUGCCCGCGAGUGUUCGAAUCGCUCAGGUGACG